CCUCCUUUCUUGGCAUGCUCGUUGUUUUCCUGUGAACGUGUGUGUAUGUGAUGGAGGAAUAAAAAAAAAAAAAAAAAAAGUCCAGUGCUGUGUCUUCGGUGCCAGAAAGUUGAUUGUUUUCUGGUUCUAUCCUCAAUCGCUGGAACAGUG
RNAcentral lists this small nucleolar RNA (150 nucleotides) under Gouania willdenowi (blunt-snouted clingfish). RNAcentral's name for it is "Small nucleolar RNA SNORA57 (ENSGWIG00000002275.1)". It matches the Rfam family "Small nucleolar RNA SNORA57". Rfam says of the family: U99 belongs to the H/ACA class of snoRNAs which are thought to guide the sites of modification of uridines to pseudouridines, the target for this family is unknown. The record is from Rfam by way of RNAcentral. Lineage: Eukaryota; Metazoa; Chordata; Actinopteri; Blenniiformes; Gobiesocidae.